RNAcentral lists this non-coding RNA (100 nucleotides) under Colwellia sp. RNAcentral describes it as "c-di-GMP sequence". It matches the Rfam family "c-di-GMP-I riboswitch aptamer". Rfam says of the family: GEMM was predicted in a large-scale screen for bacterial structured RNA regulatory elements. Genes associated with GEMM are involved in a diverse array of functions, including chemotaxis regulation, signal transduction, secretion and chitin. Lineage: Bacteria; Pseudomonadati; Pseudomonadota; Gammaproteobacteria; Alteromonadales; Colwelliaceae. The record is from RNAcentral. RNAcentral also lists the same sequence under 1 other name.
ACAAAGAAAAGGCAAAACACGUGAAAUCGUGUUACGCAAAACCACCGGUCUAAGGGAUUUAUGUUUUAUAUAUAAAUUCUAUGACAGCGGAGUCACCUCG